This 69-nucleotide transfer RNA is filed under the name Anabropsis carnarius. RNAcentral describes it as "Pteranabropsis carnarius tRNA-Gly". The record is from RNAcentral. Lineage: Eukaryota; Metazoa; Arthropoda; Insecta; Orthoptera; Anostostomatidae.
AUUAAUUUAGUAUAUUUAGUACAUUUAACUUCCAAUUAAAAAGAUUGAAAAAAAAUUUCAAAAUUAAUA